Molecule: ribosomal RNA, 563 nt
Filed under: Serratia sp. (in: enterobacteria)
Lineage: Bacteria; Pseudomonadati; Pseudomonadota; Gammaproteobacteria; Enterobacterales; Yersiniaceae
Description: bacterial SSU rRNA
Rfam family: Bacterial small subunit ribosomal RNA
Source: RNAcentral
AGCGGCGGACGGCUGAGUAAUGUCUGGGAAACUGCCUGAUGGAGGGGGAUAACUACUGGAAACGGUAGCUAAUACCGCAUAACGUCGCAAGACCAAAGAGGGGGACCUUCGGGCCUCUUGCCAUCAGAUGUGCCCAGAUGGGAUUAGCUAGUAGGUGGGGUAAUGGCUCACCUAGGCGACGAUCCCUAGCUGGUCUGAGAGGAUGACCAGCCACACUGGAACUGAGACACGGUCCAGACUCCUACGGGAGGCAGCAGUGGGGAAUAUUGCACAAUGGGCGCAAGCCUGAUGCAGCCAUGCCGCGUGUGUGAAGAAGGCCUUCGGGUUGUAAAGCACUUUCAGCGAGGAGGAAGGUGGUGAGCUUAAUACGCUCAUCAAUUGACGUUACUCGCAGAAGAAGCACCGGCUAACUCCGUGCCAGCAGCCGCGGUAAUACGGAGGGUGCAAGCGUUAAUCGGAAUUACUGGGCGUAAAGCGCACGCAGGCGGUUUGUUAAGUCAGAUGUGAAAUCCCCGGGCUCAACCUGGGAACUGCAUUUGAAACUGGCAAGCUAGAGUCUCGUA